CAGGGCUGCGCGCGGCGCUCGCCUGCUGGCGCGGGUUCCGGGGGGCGCCUGCUGGGCUUGAUUGGAGACAAUCCCGUGCGUGGACCGCCGUUCCCUCUUCGCGGGAAUGUUGGCCAGGAUAGCAGGUCUCCUUCUCUUUCUCGCUUCUCCUCUUUUCCUCUUGAUUCUCUGGGACAAGCUCCGUCUGGGCUCCGGGAGUGCCCGGGCUAGGUGCUGCAAAGUCUCACAAGUAGUGCCAGUGAGAGGUGAAGCCAGCUGUGCUUCUGGGAUGGGUGGGGACUUGGAGAACUUUUGUGUCUAGCUACAGGUUUGUAAAUGCUCCCAUCAGCACUCUGUGAAAAUGGACCAAUCAGCUCCCAGUAAGCCAAUCAGCUCUCUGUAAAAUGGACCAAUCGGCAGAAUGUGGGUGGGGCCAAAUAAGGGAAUAAAGUCAGGUCACGGAGCCAGCAGCGGCAACCCGCUGGGGUCUCCGUUUCAGGCUGUGGAAGCUUUGUUGUUUCAGUCUUUGCAAUAAAUCUUGCUGCUGUUCACCCUUUGGGUUUGUGCGGCUUUUAUGAGCUGUAACACUCCCCGAGAAGGUCUGCAGUUCCACUCCUGAAGCCAGCGAGACUGGGAACCCACUGGGAGGGAGGAACAACUCCAGACGGGAGACACGAACAACUCUGGACGCGCCAUCUUUAUGAACCGUAAAAGUCACUGCGAGGGUCUGCGGCUUCAUUCUUGAAGUCAGCGAGACCAAGAACCCACCAAUUCCGGACACGAUCUGACUUAUCCUUGUAUGUGCUAAACUCAGUCUCUACCCACAAGUGGAUUUGUAACUGGUUAAUCUGUCCAUUGGGAAUGUUUACUGUGGGCCUACCAUGUACCAGGGACUACACCAUGCUAGGAAGACCUGCAUAGAGUUUACAGCUGGUCCUAGGCGAUGCUGAUGCUGCAGGCCCAAGGAUCACACCUGGAGAAGCAUGGACACCUUGUUGUAAACAGAAGAUCUACUGCUGACCACAAGCUAGCAGCCAUGAGCUAUGGCUGAUGUAAGGAAGGACACAGAAGAACAGACCAGCCAGGGCUUGAGCCUAAGAGUCAUUCUUAGUCAUUCUCCAAGAGUGUGAGAGAAAGACGGUAAACUGGGGAUAUGCAGUGGGCACAGGUGAGAGAGAGGAGUUUGGCGGCACUGGUUUCCCAAGACACAGGACACAAGACCCCUCCAAUAAAACAGGAUGCAGUAGAGAAGCUGAGCAAAACCUACCAAAACCAAGAAGGCAACAGAAGUGGCCUCUGGUUACCCUUGCUGCUCAUUAUAUGCUAAUUAUAACACACUAGCAGGCAAAAAGGCACUCCCACCAGUGCCAUGAGGGUUUACAAAUGCCAUGGCAACCUGGCACCCCAAUCCCCACCCCCAAUAAAUUACCCGGAAAACUCAUGAAUAAUCCACACUUUGUUUAGCGUAUGAUCAAGAAAUAAAUCAUAAAAAUAGCCAACCAGCAGCCCUCAAGGCUGCCUUGCCUAUGGAGUAGGCACGUUUUUAUUGCAUUACUUUCUUA
This 1541-nucleotide long non-coding RNA is filed under the name Homo sapiens (human). RNAcentral's name for it is "HSALNT0121318". Lineage: Eukaryota; Metazoa; Chordata; Mammalia; Primates; Hominidae. The record is from RNAcentral.